CAGCAGCCGCGGUAUACGUAGGUUCCGAGCGUUGUCCGGAUGUAUUGGGCGUAAAGCGAGCGCAGGCGGUUAGAUAAGUCUGAAGUUAAAGGCUGUGGCUUAACCAUAGUACGCUUUGGAAACUGUUUAACUUGAGUGCAAGAGGGGAGAGUGGAAUUCCAUGUGUAGCGGUGAAAUGCGUAGAUAUAUGGAGGAACACCGGUGGCGAAAGCGGCUCUCUGGCUUGUAACUGACGCUGAGGCUCGAAAGCGUGGGGAGCAAACAGGAUUAGAUACCCUGGUAGUCAAGGGCGAAUUCGC
Molecule: ribosomal RNA, 299 nt
Filed under: uncultured Streptococcaceae bacterium
Lineage: Bacteria; Bacillati; Bacillota; Bacilli; Lactobacillales; Streptococcaceae
Description: partial 16S ribosomal RNA
Rfam family: Bacterial small subunit ribosomal RNA
Source: RNAcentral